CAAGUCGAGGGGCAGCAUAAUGGAUAGCAAUAUCUAUGGUGGCGACCGGCGCACGGGUGCGUAACGCGUAUGCAACCUACCUUUAACAGGGGGAUAACCGGGAGAAAUUCCGACUAAUACCGCAUACGUCCUCCGGGGGCAUCCCCGGGGGAUGAAAGAGUUAUCGGUGAAGGAUGGGCAUGCGUGAUAUUAGGUAGUUGGCGGGGCAACGGCCCACCAAGCCUACGAUAUCUAGGGGUUCUGAGAGGAAGGUCCCCACAUUGGUACUGAGACACGGACCAAACUCC
RNAcentral lists this ribosomal RNA (287 nucleotides) under uncultured bacterium. RNAcentral's name for it is "partial 16S ribosomal RNA". It matches the Rfam family "Bacterial small subunit ribosomal RNA", at positions 58 to 339 of the family's 1533-position model. RNAcentral also lists the same sequence under 1 other name. The record is from RNAcentral.